Alnus glutinosa is the source of this 113-nucleotide small nucleolar RNA. RefSeq annotates it as small nucleolar RNA snoR100. NCBI's taxonomy places the organism in Eukaryota, Viridiplantae, Streptophyta, Magnoliopsida, Fagales, Betulaceae. The record is from RefSeq and is a predicted model, not a curated record. The transcript has a single exon.
AGACGAAGGAAGCAUGGUAAUGUGCACACAGAUUGAAAUUAUGGAUCCCCAUAGCCUGAUUCCUCUGUUGCCAUUUUCGCUUUGACUUGGGGGCCUGGUUAUGACCCCCCCGU